RNAcentral lists this ribosomal RNA (3393 nucleotides) under Triticum aestivum (bread wheat). RNAcentral describes it as "partial small subunit ribosomal RNA". Lineage: Eukaryota; Viridiplantae; Streptophyta; Magnoliopsida; Poales; Poaceae. The record is from RNAcentral.
AUGGAGAGAGUGCUCCACGUCAAAGAUAGUCAACCGAUACAAAAUCGCCUCUUACCAGUUGCCAGCUGUAAGGCAUUAUACACUCCGCGGAAAAUCCCACCUCGGUCUCUCCCCCUCCCACACAACCCUCUCUCUCUCUCUCCCUUCCCGCCCCUCGCCCCCUCCCACUGCAUAAAGCAGCCUGAAGAGGCUUCCUUUAGGAUGAGCGGCGGCGGCGGAAGAUGGGGCGCCGCGGGAGGCGGCUACAUCAUCGGUGUUGUCGUCCGAAGCUUGAUGGGGCGAUGCGGCAAGUACACGGCCACCCCGUCUAUGGGAAGCUUCUGGCCCAAGGGCAGACCAGGCGGCGGAGGCGGCGGGCUGGGCGAUGGCAGCGCCAUCUUCUUCCAGACCAAAUGGCGCCCAAGCAAUCCAGAGAUUGCGGCCCUGAAGCGUGUCCUGGCGUCUGUGGACCGUGCGUCUCGACAUCAGAAUCAGAAGGGCAUGGAAGGAUCUGGGCUACUGCAAGAGGCUGCUAACACCGGGGAAAUGGAGGCCCUGUUCGGCAGCUCUCCGCUCCACGGCUCAGCUCCUGGAGCGGCUGGAGCGGAGCGGCGCGGUAGCCUAUUUUUCUGGAGUCAUCAAAGUGGCGCUCCGCCGGCUCCCAUUGGUUUGACACCAUCAGAGGUAACAUCUGAAUCAGAAGAAUCAAGGCAGUUGCAGAUGACCGAGGCUUGGCGUAAAAGAGGCACAGAGAAGAAAGUAGGCAUAAUUGACAUCGUUCAUGCCAGCCGUGGAGAUCACUGUCAGGGAACUGUUAAUAAUGAGACACUUGGUUACUUAGUUGGAAGGGUCUAUCCUUUCCAAACACGUCUGGGAAUUGAUAAGGGCCGAUUGCCCUUCAGGAAACAUCUAUUUAAUGAGAUGGCUCACUGUGCUGCUAACUGUUGGAACCCAGAGACUGAGUCUUCUUAUGGAUGGGUAGAGUCUAUGGGCAUUCCAGACAGAUAUGCAUAUGAUUUAAAAUCUCACUUUGACAAAAGUGGCCUUCCACUUGUAGCCCAUGAGAAGUUUUCAAAGCCUAUAGAAGUCGAGGAGUUUCAGGCUUAUUCAACUGUCGGUGUUGCUGAUUAUACUUCUCUUGAGGUCCUAUUGAAGAAAGGAUGUCCAAUGGAAUGUGACUGGUGGUCACAUGGAGCUAUUAUGUAUGAGAUGCUUGUGGGUUAUGCACCAUUUUAUUCCGAAGAUCCAAUGUCAAUGUGUAGGAAGAUAUUUGUAAUGAACAGAUCACAUAUGAUAAAGGCUUAUCCAUGGUUUAGAAGCGUUGAAUUGGAAAAGCUAUAUCAGAUGGAAGCAGCUUUCAUACCCGAAGUUAUUGAUGAAUUGGACACACAAAACUUCAAGAAUUUUGAGGUGGCUAUUGGCACGAAAAACCGAGAUCUACUUAUCUGGAAAAAAAAUACCCACAAGCCAGAGCUUCUAGUUGGAGAUUGCUACUCGUCACCGAACAGAUCAACAGGUUAUGCUGAUUCAGGCCCGCUCUUGAUUUCAAUGGAGGCUUGUGGAGGUGUUGGGCUGAACGCCGAGAGGAAGGGAGGAGGUGACGAUGGUUGGCUGAAUGCCGAGAGGAAGGGAGGAGGUGAUGAUGGUGGAAGAGGGCCGACGUUGUCUGGCUUUAGCCCAAAGGAGGAACUGAGCUCGUGGCAUCUGACUAAACCUGCAGGUGUUAAUCAUACUGGGAUCUUUUCAGGAAUUAGUCUAAAGAAACUGUCCUGUCUAUUUGCAGCGAAACAUACCGCCCUUCCCAUGCUAAAUUGGACUGCUGAAGAUAUAAUGGCCUAUGCGAAAUCAGGACACAGGAAAAAAAAGAAUAAACUAAGGGAUAAAGAUGAUGAUGAAAGUAGCUUGGAAAGUUACAGAGAAGGAAUCCGACGUAUUCGCGCAUGGUGCCGGGACAACGGCACAUGUGUGGAUAUUUCCAGCCUGUGUGGAGAGGGGCAUGAGAUCUUCACAACCCCUGGGAAUGGAACUUUCUACAUGACGCUUCAGUACAGAGGUCGUACAAUUACUCUGAACAUUUAUGGCAAUAAUUUAUAUCUUGUUGGCUGGACGGGUGGACUAGGGGGUGGAUUUGAGUUGAUGUCGGGUGCUGAUAGCUGUAUGGCUCCACAAGGGCAAAAAAUAUUGAAGUUUGGAGGCAAUUAUUGCCGGCUAUAUCCACCGGGAUACGAGAGUACGAGCCUGGGGCUUGGUGCACUGAGACACUCUUUUGAUACCUUGUAUAAAUCAGACGGUGGUGGUUCUUACAGUUUGAGGAAGGCAAUAACAAUCAUGUGUACUCAUUUCCCAGAGGCUGCACGCCUGCAAUGUGUGUUAAAGUCAAUAUGCGAUUCAUUUUUAGCUGCUCAUUUGGUUCCGAUUGGGUGUUUUCCUGACAACAUCUUUUGGAUUGGAAAUUAUGGACAUUAUGCUCGAGUUAGUAUGGAGUAUGUGGCCCAGGUGCUAUCAGGAGCAGUACCUGAGCCGAUAGUGAACCGUGAUGGUGCUAAGUUUACUACAAUCGAUGAACUUUUGAAAGAGGUACGAGUAUGCAACCGACAUGGCUGCAAAGAUGGUGUAUUUGUGCAUCAAGCUCCCGAUGAUUCUCCAGCAAGUGCCCCUAUAGGAGGGUCUGCUCCCCGCCCACCCCCCAAUGAUUUCCUUGUCAGUGGUGUACACAAACUUCAGGUCCACAAUGUUGCAGCACUAUGUGUUCCCAAUAGGUGGCUCUUGUCUCUCUACCUUAAAGCUGGAAGGCACGUUUGCAAAGUCACCAGGUCAACGGUUGGUGGAAUGGUGGUGGACCUAAAGCCAGUGGUUGAAAUUGCACAAGGUGGAAGUGCUUCUGGAACCUCUGGAUUGUACAGAAUUGUCAAGGUAACCUGCAAACAAGCGUUUGCACAUCACAAGACUUCGGCCGCAAGUGCCGGGAUCAAAUAUCAUACAUCCAAACUCCUCCUUUUGCACCUUGGUCUUCUCUCCUUAGCUACCCAUUCUCCAGGGAGUCUGUCACAGUGGGGAUGGCAGAGCUGCGGCCAGCCCAACUUAGGCUUGUGUAAGGAAAAUCACUGCACCGUCCUCACCCAAAGAAGAAAUGGGAUCAUAUUGGGCUAUAAAUUCCGCUAUGCUGCAAAUUUAUGUGGUGUUACCAAUGGUUCACCAUAUAAGGAAGGAUAUGAUUUUAUCAUUGGCACUUCAGAGCAUGUUAGACAAAAGGCAAGUUUGGUGAACAUGUGCUCUUUUGUACCUCAAAUCCCAACUCCAAUUUGUAAUCAGCUCACCAUGACUAUUCUUCUUGAGCACAGCAGCAAUGCACGUUUUUUUGGUUUAUCAGUUCACGGGCAGAUAAAACAUUUUGACCAAGGCAAUGAUGAUUGA